This 253-nucleotide ribosomal RNA is filed under the name uncultured bacterium. RNAcentral's name for it is "partial 16S ribosomal RNA". It matches the Rfam family "Bacterial small subunit ribosomal RNA", at positions 524 to 776 of the family's 1533-position model. The record is from RNAcentral.
UACAGGGGGGGCAAGCGUUGUUCGGAAUUCCUGGGCGUAAAGGGCUCGUAGGUGGCCAACUAAGUCAGACGUGAAAUCCCUCGGCUUAACCGGGGAACUGCGUCUGAUACUGGAUGGCUUGAGUUUGGGAGAGGGAUGCGGAAUUCCAGGUGUAGCGGUGAAAUGCGUAGAUAUCUGGAGGAACACCGGUGGCGAAGGCGGCAUCCUGGACCAACACUGACACUGAUGAGCGAAAGCCAGGGGAGCAAACGGG